This is a long non-coding RNA of Calidris pugnax (ruff), 2765 nucleotides long. RefSeq lists it as uncharacterized. The record is from RefSeq and is a predicted model, not a curated record. NCBI's taxonomy places the organism in Eukaryota, Metazoa, Chordata, Aves, Charadriiformes, Scolopacidae. The transcript is spliced from 11 exons.
AUUUUGAUUUCCAGAGUCUAAACCAGCUGCUUCGAAGAGAUCUUUCAAAUGAAUGACUAGGCUGUGAAUUUCUAAGGAUGAAGCUCAUUUGAGAAAUCUUUCCUCUGCCUUUGGGGAGAAAUAAUUUGCCUCCUUCCACAAGACUGUUGAUGAGAACAGAAGAAGGAACAGAUGGUGGCACCAUCCUGUCUCAGCACCAAACACUGCCCUGGAGUUGUACGUGGUGCAAAAAGCAUCCCCGUGUGGAGAAGCAGAUAGCGCUCCGGCAAAGUAUCAGGAUGGUGGAUUUUAUGGUGGAUUUCUACAGCUGAGGGACAACUGCCUGUGAGUUUCCAGGUCAUGUAACCUUGCUCACUGUUGUGGAAAGCCUGAGGAGCUCCACGAGGGGUUUAAAAGAGAGAUCUUCUUCUCCUGUUCAGGUUACUUUAAUCUAUAAUAUCAGCAAUAAUCACUGUGGUAUUGUUGCCUAGGCAUUCUUGAAGAGUCAGAAGUGGACUGUAAUUGAAGAGUUCAUUACCAAGAUCAGUUGGCUCCUUGAUUACAGUGGCAAGGUGAAAUAUAUAUCCUCACCAAAAAGCAACUGCUAAACCUUUAGAGAAGUCACCCACUUUUCACUCUUUUUCAUUAGGACCCCGACAAGCUUGUCAGCAAAAUUAAAGGUUCACUUCAGACGGUCUCCAUCCUGUGUUGGAAAGCAGAAAGCAGCAAGUGGACCUGGGCUGCAUAAGCACCUGCCAGGCCCUAAACAGUGGUAAAACACUGGCUGCCAUGAACUUCUUGUUAAAAAAAAGAAAGAAGAGAAGGCUGUGGUUUGGAGGCUGCUGGAGCUGCCUGUAGCAGACUGUGAGCUGCUGAUGGCGUGGCUGCUGAAAUCACUACAAGGAUAAUAGGGCACACAUGCAUUUGUGGAUAAUUCUGGUUGCUAAUUGCUCAUGAAAUUUCAGGUUGAAAGUGAAGAAGGAAAUCUUCCAGGUGGCUGCAUCUUGAAAGACGGGUGCUGCAGUGAUUGCCUCCUCUCUGAACAUGCCACACUGCCGGAAGGGACUGGCCAGGAUCCAGAGAUGAAAUAAGUGCUUUUUAAAUGCUGCUCCUACCACACCGAGCUGGGUUUGUCCCGGCGUGUGAUGCUCCUGUGUCCCAUGUGCUGUCCCUGGUGCCCCAUUGGUCCUUCUGCCGGGGCGACUCAGCCUGGCGUCUUCACUGCGCAAACUUCAAGAAGGUUAAGUUUUAAAAUAACUGUUCCUGAGGCUGUAAGUAGAAAGAAGAAAAAUAAAGCGCUGGAAAUGACUUGUAAUAAUCUCAAUGAAAAUGCUGGAUGCUUUUUCUUUUUUCUCAUCUCACCCUAAAUGUUUUCUAACAUUAAUACCAGUGACCUCUCCCUUCUCCUGCUUUUCUUUAAUGGGAUGUGGCUUGCCUAUUAUAAGGCUAUGCAUCGCAGCUGGAAACAGUUGCUUUAUUUAAAAAAAAAAAAGAAAAAAGGGCUCUGAUUACUCAGGUGUCGAUACAAAAAAAUGAGAUGUUGUGCCAGAUGGCUGCAUUUGUGAAGCAGAGUGUAGUCAGAAGGAAAGUGGAAGGAGACAAGGCAACUGUACAUCAGAAGUGUGAAAACAUGAUCAAAAUACCUUCAGCCUUGUUUCACCAACACUGGAUUAGGAGGCAACUGUGGUGAGAUGCAAGCAAAGAAAAGCAUGAGGGGAUACUGUUUGGAAAACAAAAACAUCUUUCAGUAAUGAACUGCUUGACUUCCUCAGCAAAAGCUUAGAAGUUUGAAAAAAUCAAGAGACUUUGUUAUUAAAUGGAAGGACUGAGAACCAGUAAGCCUCAGAGCACGGCAUCUAGUGUCACUGCAAAAUGCCACGUGCGAUAGAGUAAAAUAUUGAUAGCAGGCUGUGUCACGGGCUUAGUUAGCAUUAUAGCAGGAUAUGCUGCUGCCAAUCAUCGGUAAGUAACCGCUCUCUUGGGUGACACAGACAGUCAGCAGCUCCGUGCCAGGGCUGCAGGUGUGCAGGAGGCGUUGUCUAGUGGAGCAGAGGAGAGGAGGUGCCUCCUGCACCAGGCGUUGGGGCGCCGUUUGCUCAGAGCUGGGCCCGGGCACCCCCGGCAGCCCCUCCGGCUGGCACCUGCAUUGGCGUCUGCCCUCGGAGGUAAAGGGGUGGGCUCGUAAUGACAGCACUGGCUGUUCUGUACCUCACACUGCUUGGACGCGUUGCUCAGCUCGUUGAGAAGCUUUAGUUCAACUUUUGAUGCCAGGGUGUGAAGUACUUACUGAGACUGUAAGAGCUGAGAACUUGGCGGGUGCUUCUUUACCCUUUUAUAUACUGAAACGGAUCCUGGGUACUUGCAGCUUUCCUUCCAUGCCACAGCUUUUGGAAUAAUUUCUUUGAUCUGAGAUCAGAAAUCCAAAUUUAUUUUUUUUUCCAUGCUUAAGCUGGCUCUGCUGAAGCUGCUCCACACUCUUUCCUCCUCUGUGGUCUUUUAGGGGAAAAGGAGAACAUGAGCACAAAAGAGGUUAAUCUGAAAGCUUGGCCUCUGGUUCCCGUGGGUCUAUCUUGGUUUACAAACUUUGUAGCGUUUGCAUUUCAUCACGAGAGUCUGAAAUCUUAGUUUUCUUAGAUUGCAGUUUGAUUAGAACAUCAAAAGGAAAAUCUCUGUUAAUUUUAGCCGAAACCAUUCCCAGAAACACAGCUUUCUCAUCCUCAACCCCCAAAAUGACUUCAACUUCUUGCAGGUACCUUCUGGAAAUGAACUUCAUCCAAAUGUAUUAA